UGCCUUUCAAAUUCUUUUUUGUUCCAUGAGGUUCUAAUAUAACUGGCUCCAUCGAUACAGUUAUCAUCCUGUUGUUCUUUGUAGUUCUAUCUCCUCCUCUUAAUUUUCCUGAAUAUUUUAUGUCUGCCUUUUCUGUUGCUUACGCAGUUAACAACAUAUUGUUUUCUUUAUUUUUUUCUAAUUAGCCAUAUUUUGUAGCAGGUUUGUAAAAUCUAACUCCCUCUAUAACUCAGAUGUGAAGAGAAAAUGAAAGUUCUUUAUAGUUCUCUAUUGGAUGUGCCCCUCUGUUUUAGCCCUCUCUCCACUGGUUAACUGGGAAAAAUUUAAAUUAACUCAAAACUUCUUCUCAUCCAAUAGUGCUGACUGCCCGUAUGAAAACAUUCAGUCUUUCCAAAAAAUCGUAUAGUUCCUGACUAGCCGCCCUGCACUUCUCGCUAUGCUGACAUAUGGUGCCUGGUGGUGGGGGUAGAGAAUUAGGCUUUUGAGUCCUCUUGGAAAAAUAAAUAGUCAGAGUCUUCAGUUCAAUGUACUCUGCUUCCUCAGGUCUCCAUGGCAACAUCCCUGGCUCCUGGAUGCUGCUUGCCCUGCUGCUAGGCUGCAUAGCUUCACUCUGUGUCAGGGGACUCAGGAUUCUGUCUCUCGCGGCUUUGUCAGCGACUAGUAGUAUAUCCUAGUUAACCCUGUCCCACCCUCAUGCCUACCGGCCACAGAUCUCUGCAUGACAGCCACAACUCCUUCUUAUCCAGGGGCCUGGUGGUCCACCAACCCCCACGCAGCGCGCAGAAUCACCUGGUGGGCCUGCUGGCUCUCAAUUUAGCUUCUCACCAAAGUCCCCUGAGGGCAGCCAGGAAGGCCAUACUACCAUAAGUUCUCGCUCUUCUGAGCACACUGUGUAGCGACAUUGCUACGGCCACACCUGAGGUUGGUGCAAGAUGAGGCUCGGAGGUGAUAACCUAGUCCUGGAUGCUGGGAGCAGAGCUGCCUGCCCUCGCUGCCUUGCACAUUAGCCUCGACAGCCGUCUGCUGUGAAGCCCGAGGACCCAGACCACCAGUGCCGCGCUGCUCCUCAGAAGAUGAUGCUCUCCGAGGAGUUUCUGACUGGCUCUAAGUGCCCGUGUCCGUAAACGUAAAAUGGGAGUAAAAUAAUCAUUGACCUCGUGGUGUCAUUGUGAAGACUGAAUGAGCAGAUGCAUAUUUGUAGACAUAUAAGUACUUGGAACAGAACCAAAUGCAUAGAAAGUAUUCA
This 1246-nucleotide long non-coding RNA is filed under the name Equus caballus (horse). Its description in RNAcentral is "lncRNA (ENSECAG00000051505.1)". Lineage: Eukaryota; Metazoa; Chordata; Mammalia; Perissodactyla; Equidae. The record is from RNAcentral.